ACAGCAGCAGCCACGGUAAUACGAAGGGGGCUAGCGUUGUUCGGAUUUACUGGGCGUAAAGCGCACGUAGGCGGAUCGAUCAGUCAGGGGUGAAAUCCCAGAGCUCAACUCUGGAACUGCCUUUGAUACUGUCGAUCUGGAGUAUGGAAGAGGUGAGUGGAAUUCCGAGUGUAGAGGUGAAAUUCGUAGAUAUUCGGAGGAACACCAGUGGCGAAGGCGGCUCACUGGUCCAUUACUGACGCUGAGGUGCGAAAGCGUGGGGAGCAAACAGGAUUAGAUACCCCCGUAGUCCCUGUCUCUUAUAC
RNAcentral lists this ribosomal RNA (305 nucleotides) under uncultured bacterium. RNAcentral describes it as "partial 16S ribosomal RNA". It matches the Rfam family "Bacterial small subunit ribosomal RNA", at positions 506 to 807 of the family's 1533-position model. The record is from RNAcentral.